GACGAACGCUGGCGGCGUGCUUAACACAUGCAAGUCGAACGGAAAGGCCCUGCUUUUGUGGGGUGCUCGAGUGGCGAACGGGUGAGUAACACGUGAGUAACCUGCCCUUGACUUUGGGAUAACUUCAGGAAACUGGGGCUAAUACCGGAUAGGAGCUCCUGCUGCAUGGUGGGGGUUGGAAAGUUUCGGCGGUUGGGGAUGGACUCGCGGCUUAUCAGCUUGUUGGUGGGGUAGUGGCUUACCAAGGCUUUGACGGGUAGCCGGCCUGAGAGGGUGACCGGCCACAUUGGGACUGAGAUACGGGCCAGACUGCUACGGGAGGCAGCAGUGGGGAAUAUUGCACAAUGGGCGGAAGCCUGAUGCAGCAACGCCGCGUGCGGGAUGACGGCCUUCGGGUUGUAAACCGCUUGCGCCUGUGACGAAGCGUGAGUGACGGUAAUGGGUAAAGAAGCACCGGCUAACUACGUG
RNAcentral lists this ribosomal RNA (468 nucleotides) under uncultured bacterium. RNAcentral describes it as "partial 16S ribosomal RNA". It matches the Rfam family "Bacterial small subunit ribosomal RNA", at positions 28 to 507 of the family's 1533-position model. The record is from RNAcentral.